This 27-nucleotide non-coding RNA is filed under the name Mus musculus (house mouse). The record is from RNAcentral. Lineage: Eukaryota; Metazoa; Chordata; Mammalia; Rodentia; Muridae.
UAAGAGGUUCCUAGCACCCGCGUGGCA